This 352-nucleotide ribosomal RNA is filed under the name uncultured soil bacterium. Its description in RNAcentral is "bacterial SSU rRNA". It matches the Rfam family "Bacterial small subunit ribosomal RNA", at positions 26 to 372 of the family's 1533-position model. The record is from RNAcentral.
AGAGUGAACGCUGGCGGUAGGCCUAACACAUGCAAGUCGAACGGCAGCACGGUAAGAGCUUGCUCUUAUGGGUGGCGAGUGGCGGACGGGUGAGGAAUACAUCGGAAUCUACCUUUUGGUGGGGGAUAACGUAGGGAAACUUACGCUAAUACCGCAUACGCCCUUCGGGGGAAAGCCGGGGACCAGCAAUGGCCUGGCGCUGAUAGAUGAGCCGAUGUCGGAUUAGCUAGUUGGUGAGGUAAUGGCUCGCCAAGGCGACGAUCCGUAGCUGGUCUGAGAGGAUGAUCAGCCACACUGGAACUGAGACACGGUCCAGACUCUACGGGAGCAGCAGUGGGGAAUAUUGGACAAU